AGAGUUUGAUCCUGGCUCAGGACGAACGCUGGCGGCGUGCUUAACACAUGCAAGUCGAACGGUGAAGCCCUUCGGGGUGGAUCAGUGGCGAACGGGUGAGUAACACGUGGGUAACCUGCCCUGAACUCUGGGAUAACUCCGGGAAACCGGGGCUAAUACCGGAUACGAGCUGGAGCGGCAUCGCUCCGGCUGGAAAGUUUUUCGGUUCAGGAUGGACCCGCGGCCUAUCAGCUUGUUGGUGGGGUAACGGCCUACCAAGGCUUUGACGGGUAGCCGGCCUGAGAGGGCGACCGGCCACACUGGGACUGAGACACGGCCCAGACUCCUACGGGAGGCAGCAGUGGGGAAUAUUGCACAAUGGGCGAAAGCCUGAUGCAGCGACGCCGCGUGAGGGAUGACGGCCUUCGGGUUGUAAACCUCUUUCAGCAGGGACGAAGCGAAAGUGACUGUACCUGCAGAAGAAGCACCGGCUAACUACGUGCCAGCAGCCGCGGUAAUACGUAGGGUGCGAGCGUUGUCCGGAUUUAUUGGGCGUAAAGAGCUUGUAGGCGGCUCGUCACGUCGGGUGUGAAAACUCGCGGCUCAACCGCGAGCCUGCACCCGAUACGGGCGGGCUGGAGUUCGGCAGGGGAGACUGGAAUUCCUGGUGUAGCGGUGGAAUGCGCAGAUAUCAGGAGGAACACCGGUGGCGAAGGCGGGUCUCUGGGCCGAUACUGACGCUGAGAAGCGAAAGCGUGGGGAGCGAACAGGAUUAGAUACCCUGGUAGUCCACGCCGUAAACGUUGGGAACUAGGUGUGGGGUCCAUUCCACGGGCUCUGUGCCGCAGCUAACGCAUUAAGUUCCCCGCCUGGGGAGUACGGCCGCAAGGCUAAAACUCAAAGGAAUUGACGGGGCCCGCACAAGCGGCGGAGCAUGUGGCUUAAUUCGAUGCAACGCGAAGAACCUUACCUGGGCUUGACAUGUUCGGUCUACCUGCAGAGAUGUGGGGGUGCUUC
RNAcentral lists this ribosomal RNA (996 nucleotides) under uncultured bacterium. RNAcentral's name for it is "bacterial SSU rRNA". It matches the Rfam family "Bacterial small subunit ribosomal RNA", at positions 8 to 1020 of the family's 1533-position model. The record is from RNAcentral.